AUGAACGCUGGCGGCGUGCCUAAUACCUGCAAGUCGAACGAAACUUCUUUAUCACCGAGUGCUUGCACUCACCGAUAAAGAGUUGAGUGGCGAACGGGUGAGUAACACGUGGGCAACCUGCCCAAAAGAGGGGGAUAACACUUGGAAACAGGUGCUAAUACCGCAUAACCAUAGUUACCGCAUGGUAACUAUGUAAAAGGUGGCUAUACUACCGCUUUUGGAUGGGCCCGCGGCGCAUUAGCUAGUUGGUAGGGUAAAGGCUUACCAAGGCAAUGAUGCGUAGCCGAAUUGAGAGGUUGAUCGGCCACAUUGGGACUGAGACACGGCCCAAACUCCUACGGGAGGCAGCAGUAGGGAAUCUUCCACAAUGGGCGAAAGCCUGAUGGAGCAACGCCGCGUGGGUGAAGAAGGUCUUCGGAUCGUAAAACCCUGUUGUUAGAGAAGAAAGUGCGUGAGAGUAACUGUUCACGUUUCGACGGUAUCUAACCGGAAAGCCACGGCUAACUACGUG
This 511-nucleotide ribosomal RNA is filed under the name uncultured bacterium. RNAcentral's name for it is "partial 16S ribosomal RNA". It matches the Rfam family "Bacterial small subunit ribosomal RNA", at positions 29 to 507 of the family's 1533-position model. The record is from RNAcentral.